CCUACGGGAGGCAGCAGUGGGGAAUAUUGCACAAUGGGGGAAACCCUGAUGCAGCGACGCCGCGUGAGUGAAGCAGUAUUUCGGUAUGUAAAGCUCUAUCAGCAGGGAAGAAAAUGACGGUACCUGACUAAGAAGCCCCGGCUAACUACGUACCAGCAGCCGCGGUAAUACGUAGGGGGCAAGCGUUAUCCGGAUUUACUGGGUGUAAAGGGAGCGUAGACGGCCAGACAAGUCAGAAGGGAAGGCGCAGGGCUCAACCCUGGGACUGCUUUUGAAAAUGCCGGGCUGGAGUGCAGGAGAGGUAAGCGGAAUUCCUAGUGUAGCGGUGAAAGGCGUAGAUAUUAGGAGGAACACCAGGGGCGAAGGCGGCUUACUGGACUGUAACUGACGUUGAGGCUCGAAAGCGUGGGGAGCAAACAGGAUUAGAUACCCUUGUAGUC
RNAcentral lists this ribosomal RNA (440 nucleotides) under uncultured bacterium. Its description in RNAcentral is "partial 16S ribosomal RNA". It matches the Rfam family "Bacterial small subunit ribosomal RNA", at positions 338 to 795 of the family's 1533-position model. The record is from RNAcentral.